AUCACUUCUCAGCCUUUGGGCUAAGAUCAUACGUAGUAUCUGUUAUUAUCAGUUUAACAUCUGACACGUGUCCUCUAUUCAAGGACAAUAUGUUAAAUGGAUUUUUGGAAUAGGGCGAUGAAACAGGAUUGCUUGCUCCAUCCACUCCACACAUCAACCUCGUAUUGCAGUACCUCCAGGAACAGAGCACCACUA
This 195-nucleotide small nuclear RNA is filed under the name Microcebus murinus (gray mouse lemur). RNAcentral's name for it is "U2 spliceosomal RNA (ENSMICG00000018562.3)". It matches the Rfam family "U2 spliceosomal RNA". From Rfam's summary of the family: U2 is a small nuclear RNA (snRNA) component of the spliceosome (involved in pre-mRNA splicing). Complementary binding between U2 snRNA (in an area lying towards the 5' end but 3' to hairpin I) and the branchpoint sequence (BPS) of the intron results the bulging out of an unpaired adenosine, on the BPS, which initiates a nucleophilic attack at the intronic 5' splice site, thus starting the first of two transesterification reactions that mediate splicing. The record is from Rfam by way of RNAcentral. Lineage: Eukaryota; Metazoa; Chordata; Mammalia; Primates; Cheirogaleidae.